GAUGAACGCUGGCGGCGUGCCUAAUACAUGCAAGUCGAGCGAACGGACGAGAAGCUUGCUUUUCUGAUGUUAGCGGCGGACGGGUGAGUAACACGUGGAUAACCUACCUAUAAGACUGGGAUAACUUCGGGAAACCGGAGCUAAUACCGGAUAAUAUUUUGAACCGCAUGGUUCAAAAGUGAAAGACGGUCUUGCUGUCACUUAUAGAUGGAUCCGCGCUGCAUUAGCUAGUUGGUAAGGUAACGGCUUACCAAGGCAACGAUGCAUAGCCGACCUGAGAGGGUGAUCGGCCACACUGGAACUGAGACACGGUCCAGACUCCUACGGGAGGCAGCAGUAGGGAAUCUUCCGCAAGGGGCGAAAGCCUGACGGAGCAACGCCGCGUGAGUGAUGAAGGUCUUCGGAUCGUAAAACUCUGUUAUUAGGGAAGAACAUAUGUGUAAGUAACUGGGCAAAUCUUGACGGUACCUAAUCAGAAAGCCACGGCUAACUACG
This 495-nucleotide ribosomal RNA is filed under the name uncultured bacterium. Its description in RNAcentral is "partial 16S ribosomal RNA". It matches the Rfam family "Bacterial small subunit ribosomal RNA", at positions 28 to 505 of the family's 1533-position model. The record is from RNAcentral.